AUGUUCCUGCUGCUCACCCCAGUCCUUCAAAUACUUUUUGCCUUGAGAGAAGCCAGAGCCCAGUCAUUGAGCCAGCCCCAGGUCCAUAUCUCCAUCUCUGAAGGAGCCUCCCUGGAGCUGAGAUGCAACUACUCCUAUGGUGCAAGUGCUUAUCUUUUCUGGUACAUCCAAUACCCCAGCCAAGGCCUCCAGCUUCUCCUGAAGUAUGUAUCAGGGGACAACCAAGUUAAAGGAAUCAAAGGUUUUGAGGCUGAAUUUCAGAAGAAUAAAUCUUCCUUCAACCUGAGGAAAUACUUGGUCCAUUGGAGCAGCUUGGCUGUGUACUUCUGUGCUCUGAGUGACAGUGUUUGGGACUCCAGGGGGAGCUGA
Molecule: non-coding RNA, 369 nt
Organism: Choloepus didactylus (southern two-toed sloth)
Lineage: Eukaryota; Metazoa; Chordata; Mammalia; Pilosa; Megalonychidae
Source: the annotation of a RefSeq genome assembly